CUACGGGCGGCUGCAGUGAGGAAUAUUGCACAAUGGGGGGAACCCUGAUGCGGCAACGCCGCGUGGAGGAUGACGCAUUUCGGUGUGUAAACUCCUUUUAUAUGUCAAGAAAAUGACGGUAGCAUAUGAAUAAGCACCGGCUAACUCCGUGCCAGCAGCCGCGGUAAUACGGGAGGGUGCAAGCGUUACUCGGAAUCACUGGGCGUAAAGGACGCGUAGGCGGGUUGGAAAGUCAGGUGUGAAAUCCUACAGCUUAACUGUAGAACUGCACUUGAAACUUCUAAUCUAGAGUAUGGGAGGGGGAGAUGGAAUUAGUGGUGUAGGGGUAAAAUCCGUAGAUAUCACUAGGAAUACCUAAAGCGAAGGCGAUCUCCUGGAACAUUACUGACGCUAAGGCGUGAAAGCGUGGGGAGCAAACAGGAUUAGAUACCCGCGUAGUC
Molecule: ribosomal RNA, 440 nt
Filed under: uncultured bacterium
Lineage: Bacteria
Description: partial 16S ribosomal RNA
Rfam family: Bacterial small subunit ribosomal RNA
Source: RNAcentral